This 469-nucleotide ribosomal RNA is filed under the name uncultured bacterium. RNAcentral's name for it is "bacterial SSU rRNA". It matches the Rfam family "Bacterial small subunit ribosomal RNA", at positions 328 to 792 of the family's 1533-position model. The record is from RNAcentral.
UCUCCAGACUCCUACGGGAGGCAGCAGUGAGGAAUAUUGGUCAAUGGCCGAGAGGCUGAACCAGCCAAGUCGCGUGAGGGAAGACGGCCCUACGGGUUGUAAACCUCUUUUGUCGGGGAGCAAAGCGAGUCACGUGUGACUCAUUGAGAGUACCCGAAGAAAAAGCAUCGGCUAACUCCGUGCCAGCAGCCGCGGUCAUACGUAGGAUCCGAGCAUUAUCCGGAGUGACUGGGUGUAAAGAGUUGCGUAGGUGGCAUAAUAAGUAGCUAGUGAAAUCUGGUGGCUCAACCAUUCAGACUAUUAGCUAAACUGUUAAGCUCGAGACCGUUAGGGGUAACUGGAAUUUCUAGUGUAGGAGUGAAAUCCGUAGAUAUUAGAAGGAACACCAAUAGCGUAGGCAGGUUACUGGGACGGUUCUGACACUAAGGCACGAAAGCGUAGGGAGCAAACGGGAUUAGAUACCCGAGUA